UCAGCCAUGACACUCCGUGUUUGUGUCCUUUGUGAAAUCUGUGCCUCUCGCUAUCUACAGCAGCCUGGUGGCAAUAUUCUGCUCAUGUGGAGCCAAAAAUGAUACAGCAGGUUUCACAACUCAGGGGAUUUUAUUUCACCGCCAGUUAUGUGUCAAGAUUGUCACCUGCGACAACAGGAUCGCCAUGUCAGGUAACGCCAGAGUCACGUUCCUCUGAUUGGGCGGAAGUGACCCGAACCGCCGCCGCUACUGCUGGAUUAUUUUUUAACCGCAGCUUUUAAAAGACUGCCAGCUAAAACCUAAUUGCUGCCCAGCAGCAACGGAGAAAGCUGGACGUUAAGCCUGCGGCUGGUGGUACAGGAGAGUGGGAUUCCUGUGGAAGCAGCUGUCUCCGUGGGACCGGCCGUUAAAUCCCCGCUCUCAGCUGCCGGCCGCUGCCUCGUGAAACAGCAUCGAUAAGGUGAAGGGUGAAAACUGUGGCGCCGUGGAUCUGCAGCCGGGUUGCCUAGCAGCAAACUGAAUGCGCCCUGAACGCGCCGUCUCCCCCUGCGCGGCGGCGAGCGUCGCCUUCUCUGGAAGAGAGCGGCGUGAUGAAGCGACCCGGGACCAGCUGUGCUGCUCAGCAUCGCUCUCCAUCUUCCCCGGUCCUGGCUGACCCAUUUUCAGGAAACACCGAGGGAACAAACCAGAUGUGAACCUGCCUGGAGAGAUCAGCGCCUGGACGGAAAGUAGGCCGAGAUCUUCCCAUGAGGAGCCUCUCUACAUGCAGACAGGAGGGAGAUUUAUUACCCAGACUGCCCCACGGGGAGCGGCGUCCUGUGCCCUGUCUAGGCAGAAUCGAUGAAGCUGAGGGAAGAGGAGCAGCAGGAUGAAGAUGAAAGCUGCUGCUGGCCACGCCGCAACGUUUACACUCGCACAUGAAAAUGGCUGCCAACAUCUUUGAAAAGCAGAAGUGGAGCCUCCUGCACAACCAGCAAGUAUUCAGCAAAAGGUUUCUGGAUGCCGCAGCUGGGGGCAUUUUCUUCUUCCCAUGCAGAAGAUUCUCCGCUCUUCACCCAAGAUGAUGCAUUUCAUGCUGCACUAACGGCGUCAAAUGGUCUGGACUUCCUGCCUCUUAAUGUGCACAGCUGUGAAAUUGUUCUCAGCAAACUGAGAUUUCCUGCAUUUUAUCUUUCGGUGGACUCGGUUCUAUUGGGACCAAAGUUGCAGCAUCUGCUCCACCUCCAGCUGCUGUGGUUCUCUUUCUCUCUGCUCUGAGUUAC
Xiphophorus maculatus (southern platyfish) is the source of this 1262-nucleotide long non-coding RNA. RefSeq lists it as uncharacterized. Lineage: Eukaryota; Metazoa; Chordata; Actinopteri; Cyprinodontiformes; Poeciliidae. The record is from RefSeq and is a predicted model, not a curated record. The transcript has 7 exons.